GGAAUUGAGAGCAAUGUGGUGGUGAUAUCUGUCACUCUUGAUCACAAGGGUUGAUCUGUCUGAACCGGGUGACUGUCACUGCUCCCUGUAAGUCUCUCCAUCCUCCUGACUUCCCCAGUAAGAGGAGGGCGUACUUGACUCAAGGGGAUAUGAGUAGUUACACAUUUCUACUAGAGUCUCCGAACAAGUCCUCAAGGUCCAUUUGUAGGAGAACAUAGGGGAGUCCAGCUUCCAGGACUCCAGAUGCAGCAAGUGAGGUGCUGCUUGUGGCAGUCUGCCUUUCU
RNAcentral lists this small nuclear RNA (284 nucleotides) under Castor canadensis (American beaver). RNAcentral's name for it is "7SK RNA (ENSCCNG00000027951.1)". It matches the Rfam family "7SK RNA". Rfam says of the family: 7SK was discovered as an abundant small nuclear RNA in the mid-70s but a possible function has only recently been suggested. The record is from Rfam by way of RNAcentral. Lineage: Eukaryota; Metazoa; Chordata; Mammalia; Rodentia; Castoridae.